This 587-nucleotide ribosomal RNA is filed under the name uncultured bacterium. RNAcentral describes it as "partial 16S ribosomal RNA". It matches the Rfam family "Bacterial small subunit ribosomal RNA", at positions 355 to 1375 of the family's 1533-position model. The record is from RNAcentral.
UGGGGAAUUUUGGACAAUGGGCGAAAGCCUGAUCCAGCAAUGCCGCGUGUGUGAAGAAGGCCUUCGGGUUGUAAAGCACUUUUGUCCGGAAAGAAAUCCUUGGCUCUAAUACAGUCGGGGGAUGACGGUACCGGAAGAAUAAGCACCGGCUAACUACGUGCCAGCAGCCGCGGUAAUACGUAGGGUGCAAGCGUUAAUCGGAAUUACUGGGCGUAAAGCGUGCGCAGGCGGUUUGCUAAGACCGAUGUGAAAUCCCCGGGCUCAACCUGGGAACUGCAUUGGUGACUGGCAGGCUAGAGUAUGGCAGAGGGGGGUAGAAUUCCACGUGUAGCAGUGAAAUGCGUAGAGAUGUGGAGGAAUACCGAUGGCGAAGGCAGCCCCCUGGGCCAAUACUGACGCUCAUGCACAAAAGCGUGGGGGAGCAAACAGGAUUAGAUACCCUGGUAGUCCACGCCCUAAACGAUGUCAACUAGUUGUUGGGGGAUUCAUUUCCUUAGUAACGUAGCUAACGCGUGAAGUUGACCGCCUGGGGAGUACGGUCGCAAGAUUAAAACUCAAAGGAAUUGACGGGGUCAUAGCUGUUUCCU